This is a non-coding RNA of Physcomitrium patens, 4609 nucleotides long. The record is from RefSeq and is a predicted model, not a curated record. Lineage: Eukaryota; Viridiplantae; Streptophyta; Bryopsida; Funariales; Funariaceae.
AAAAUGUUGUGAAAGCAAAUCUUCUUGAGAUAUAAGGAGAUCUUCGUGCUCAGUAAUUUCAAAUCCUGGUACUCACGAGGAAUUGUCUUACAUAAGUUUGAUACUCCAAUCAGAAGCUGAUGAUUACAGAGUGAGGUGGUCCUUAUGCUAUCUGCUUUCUUGUUGAGUUGUACGGCGAAGGUUGGGUAUGGCGUUCUCACCGAUAUCCAGAGCUGGUAUCUCUUCAAAAGAGAUCAUACCGGCCGCCUUUAUGUCUCAGUGGUUUUCAAGUGGGGUGACAAGAAACUACCUUUACAUGCUGCAAUUGAGUAUUUGAUCAAUACUGCCGUGGACACCAGUGGUGAGUUUGAUGUUUCACCCAGUGAUGGUGAGCGUUCCUGGAAUUGGGAGGCGACUCCUUCUACCAGUCCCGGUGGUGGUUCUAAAGAUGAUGAAGAUGAGGACCCUAACUACCAUCCGCAUAAAUUUUUUUUGGGUAGUUUUGAAACAUCUUCAACUAGGUAACCUGUCAAGCCAGUUACCUAAACAUUGCCAUGUUUUUUGGGAUAGAUAGAAGAGAACAAACGGUGGAAUGGUGGCAAGCUUAUGUACAGGACUCGAGAGGCAUGCUAAAUAGGAGGCAGAAGCAAUUGCAGGAGAUUUUUGCAUCCAACCUUCAUCUAGGAGACCACCCCAUCACCAAUGAGGGAUGGAGCGGCUGCGUGGUUGGUGGCCACAUGAAUGGUCGUCGUGUUGUUGUGAAGUUUGCUCUCCCAAGUCGGAACGAGCAGAGACUCUAUUGAACGAGGUGGGCGCCUAUCUGAAGCUACAGGAGCAUUGGGGGGUUUUUGUCCACCCAUUAGUAGGAUAUGGAACCACAGCUCAUUGCCAGAUUGUUUAUGUAGCAAUAGAGUUGAUCGAUGGCAGUCCACUCAGACCUGCUAAGUAAUAAGCUCUUGAAACCAGCAAGUGCGGAGUGUGGUCGUCCUCCUCUACUGAUCCGAAGGUUCGCGUGCUGCUGUGUCAUGAUGCUGGAACAAUAUCUUUGGUGGUCCACAACGCCAAAGUAUGUAUCUAUUUACUCUUCAAUGUGUUGUUUUUGGUUCUCAGCAAUAGUGACUGGGGAGGUGGCUAAUGUAUGUUGAGGCACGGAAUAUUAUAGUUGUGCGGGGUACACAGCCUUCUGUCCACCUUGUGGAUUUUGGCUUCGCGCGGUGCAGCAGCAAUAGGAAUUCACAGAAGGCAGAGCUCAGGAAGUUGCAGCGCGUCUUGGAAGAAAUGAUGAGAGUUGGGGUGGGAAAAGUGCAGCUGGACGAUAAUUUGCUGAAGAUGAGCUAUUGUAUAAAGUUGGUGCGUCUGGUGUGCAAGAUUCAAUUUUUAAAACCUGAUGCAGUCUUGCAGAAGUUAGGCAUUUCCUGGAUUUGAAUUCAGAGCCUUGUGAUGAAGAAUACAAUUGUAACGUGGUAAGUGGUAAAAAGAAUUAUCAAAAUGGAAAACAAAUCAGUAGAGCUGUUGAUGCCUAAACUUUUGAGGCCUGAGGGAACUUUGAGCGUUCACAAACUCUGCUCAUGUUUACAGACCCUGCUCAUGUUUAUGCACAGAUUCCGAAUCCUCUUUGCAGAUGAUUGGGUGGGAGCCUUGCUGCAUAUUUCUUGCUGCCGGUUACAUCCAUCCCAGGGCUUAAAGAUGCUCAUAUUAGGUUUAAGGUUAAGCGGGAGGGGUACAGGCUCCAUGGACACGAUCAGUAAGCAUGAGGCAGCUACGUUGAAGGCAGUCAGCUUCAUGGCCACCGUUGCAAAGCAGGUGUUUCUGGUUACAGAUCCUGCAGCUGCUGAGAUGUUUGAAACUGUUUACGCUGAGACGUUUGGGUUCAAUAGCUGCCUGCGGUUGCAUAUCCCUGUCCUUGGUGCCUUCUGAGCUAUACCACGCAGGGACAGUAAAACUGAGUUACCUUUCCUGCAAGUUCCUUCCCGCUCAGCUUGGUACACUUGAUAACAAUGACAAGACUGUUGCUUCCUUUUGAGUUGGUUUCUUUUCUCUCUCGGGUUCUUUCGAGGAGAGGGGUGCAAUUAGCACUAGGUGGUUUUGAUAUUGUGUAGCUAUUGAUUUACAGCGUAUUUGCUCACCUAUUGUGCCAUCAAAUGUAUCGUCAGUACGCCUCCAACAUGUGAUUUCAGCAUUGAGAGUAUUGAGAUUUUUGUUUUGAGAGACUUGAAUCUGCUCUAUCAGAUGGUGUGGUCUCUCUUCGAGAUUCUGGAAACUUGGAUUUGCAAGGGAGGCGUUUCUGGUUGAUAUGGAGGUUGGUUCGAGGAAUUCUAUGUCGACAUUGUCUUCGAAGUUAAAAUUUUGUAGGGAGCUCCUCGCUUGCGUGUUCAGGGUGUGUACUACGUUGAUCUGAGGCUCAACCUGGAGCGGUAUGUUCACCUCCGUCCGUUUGUCCACACACACCUCGGCCAGGGAAUGAACCAUUGUCCUACUUGUGCAGACAUUCGUGUUCAAUGCCUAUGAGGUUUCGGAUGAGGAUUUUCUGGGACUUGCAGUGCCUGUACGUUGCGUAUGACCAAUUCUCAGUUUUCGAUGUCCCGAGGAUGACGUGGGAAUCUUGGGCAUGUUUGAGAGGUUCGAGUUACUGGAGUGUUGCAGGUAAACAGGCAUAGCAGAAGUAUUGUACCGGUUGAUUUGCUUAGCAGCAUGGUCAUCGCUGGAGCUAGGAUUGGCUCUGCAGAACGUGUUGGGGAAAGGUCAAAAGCAGACAGUAGCUGGAGCUGGCAUUCCGGUCGACCCUUGGUUCGGCAUACAGGAAACGUAAAGGUUCCCUUCGAUAUUGCAUGGAGGUUGACCGUACUGAAAGAGACGUCCAGUGUAACUCCACCAUGUUGCAAGAAUAUUUUGAGAGAAUCCAGAUGCUGAAGGGGUCUGCAGAGGCAGGUGGUACGAGAUCUGAAAGAAUUGGAGAAAUUCAUGAAGGGCGGACCUCAGAGCAGACAGAGAGAAGAUUGGAGACGUUGGUCACUGCUACACUCUAGACGGAGACGACGCGGAUGUGAAUCGACCUCCCUCCCCUCUUUGCAUGGACAAUCCCUUGUGGCCUUCGAAGCUCGGGUGCAUCUAGGUUCUUGCUCCGAGUAUAUACCCUUUGGUCGCCAUUUUCAGCGCAUUUUGACGGGACAUAUCUGACGUGGUCAUUCCCCAGUGACUGGGUGCCAUUGCAGAGUUGGAGCAGUUAACGGUACUGUGACAGCAGAAGGCCUCUGAGCAGGGAAGACAGCAGCCUAUCGACCUCACUUAAGUGACACUUCCCUGUUCAAUCAGAGUAGAAGAAACUGUGUUCACUGCGAUUGGAGUUGGAGGGACGAACUUUUGUAGGAACGCAUUUCUGAGUCGUUGUUUUCUUCUCCAACUACUGGCUCAUUCCUUGAAUGCGAGCGCUAUUGGAUCACACGGUUGUAGCUCAUGCUUGGUAGUGAAGCACUCGAUAAUCAUUUAGCACUCACUACGCUCAAUCUUGCUGCAUCUAGAAGAAUCGCUGACACGAACGCAGGACACAUUGUUGGCGGCGCAUCUGUUGGCGGCCGUAACACUGCUCGUGGACCGAAUGUCGAUGGAGUCACUUGUAUCUUCGGUCCUCGAAGCAACCUCCCGAUCUUGCCAUGGCGAAGUCUCUUAGUGGGGUCCUUCUUAGACUGGAGAAGAGGUACUUGGGUUCACAGUCCAGGCGAACUGGGAAAUGGGCACUCCUGAUGAGGAAUUUCUUCCAGACGAGGUCAGAUCACCGAGUGGAACGAUCGUGUGAAAUUGCUGCAGAAGUAUGACGGCAACACUGGCUGCCCUCAUCGUGAGCAGUGAGGAGCGGUGGCACUAGUCGAUUAUCCCAAUUCUGGAGCAAUGCUGAUUCGUGGCCGGUUACAGAUGCAGGUGUUCCGUGCAGAAUUGACGGACUCGCAGGUUCCAAGCAAGCGAGGAGACAGGUGGAAAAUGCCGAAGAGCAUCUUCGAAGAGCCUCAUUUGGUUUAGUUUCAGCGGUCCACGCACCAAACACCCCAUCACUCAUGGCCUUGGACAUAUCAUCAUAAGCUACCAACAUGGCUCCAGUUCUGCUCCCAAUGCUCAUCGUCGUCGCUGCAAGAUAUAGCAAGAAUUCUUUAUUCGGGCGGGGAAUGCAUCUCCUUCUAGUUUCCCACUUUGGCCACAUGAGUUCCUUGGAAUGAUUCAGAUUGUCUAUUCAAAAUUCACCUGAACUGAGUCUCCACUCGACCGGCGUUGACGUCGUUAUUGUUUUCGUUCUUUUCCGGGCCCCUGCUGGUGCUCUCAGCUGCUCGGAGGAACGUUACACCAUGCCAGAUGAUUGCUAGAAACGUACUGAGCAGCCUGGGAUUGUGUUAAGCUAGUGUAGUUUCUGAAGAGGCUCACCUAGUUCUAGUCUGAAUGAUGGAUCGCGGAAGCGACUUCCACCUUUGGAUUGAAGAUUCUUCAACUAACAACUUUCUUUCAAUUAGAGGAUUUGCUUCUCAGCCUUGAAACCCCAGACGACGUUCUUUCUCAUAGGCCCGUUCUCGUUUUCAGGUGCGAUUACAUGCUCUUCGCUUCUUUUUUUUGUAAGGGUGUGUAUGAGUUGAAGAGCUUUUCUGUU